Molecule: non-coding RNA, 21 nt
Filed under: Caenorhabditis elegans
Lineage: Eukaryota; Metazoa; Nematoda; Chromadorea; Rhabditida; Rhabditidae
Source: RNAcentral
UGUAUGAUCGAUUUUUCCUUU